Molecule: long non-coding RNA, 813 nt
Organism: Acanthopagrus latus (yellowfin seabream)
Lineage: Eukaryota; Metazoa; Chordata; Actinopteri; Spariformes; Sparidae
Exons: 2
Source: RefSeq, a predicted model, not a curated record
AUGUGCAAUCAGAAAAAACACAAACUACUGUCAUUUUCUGUGUUUUUCUGACAGCGGGUCAGUUUGAAUCAUAAUGCAGGACGGAGCAGCCACAGUUAGCUGUUAGAUGAGGAGGCGACGGGCUGCACUCCUCCAACUUCUCAGCGUGGCGACCGACUGUCUUGGCUGUGUCCUGCUGUUCGCAGACUCCAGACAUGUGCAGCAUAAAAUCAGGUUGCUCACAGAAAGAGAAGAAGGCCAGUCACUGUCGGACUUCUUCAUGAGAGCAUCGAUCGUUUGCUGUUACCUGUGCUAUGAAACCACAAACAGCAGCAACAGGGGUCUCCAAAUCAACCAGGGCUGAAAUCUUUAAGAUCUGCAGGAGAAAUCCAUCGUGCAUUCAAUCCAAACUCUGCUGUUCAUGACCGUCUCCUGUCUGAGUCCACAUCCCCUCUUAAGACGUCACCAUACCUAUCAUCCCACUAUUGUUCCGAGGGCACGGGUGUAAUCAUGUGUGAAAUUGGUUUGGAUGUGGUUUGAUGGCGCUCCUGUGUCUCAAUGGAUAAAUUCAAAGGCCGUCUAAUUACAUACUGGAGCAGAAGAGGGGGAGACCAGUGACCUGUGGCCUGUUUAUCUGCAGCUAAUCAGGAUCAUCCGAGAGGAGGAGAUCGUCAUAACUGUCCAGAUUUUUAUCCCACGUCAUCUCUGUGGUAAAUUACAUAAUAAUGGAGGCUUUGAAAGGUACUGCAUGCAAACACCAACAUAACAUGAUGGUCAGUUUAAGCUGCUGCAGGCACAGCUGAGAGCUUUGGUAGACAUUGGCAUAAAAAAAAA